CGGGGUGUAGCGCAGCCUGGUAGCGCAUCUGCUUUGGGAGCAGAGGGCCGGCGGUUCGAAUCCGUCCACCCCGA
This 74-nucleotide transfer RNA is filed under the name alpha proteobacterium BAL199. It matches the Rfam family "tRNA". Rfam says of the family: Transfer RNA (tRNA) molecules are approximately 80 nucleotides in length. Their secondary structure includes four short double-helical elements and three loops (D, anti-codon, and T loops). Further hydrogen bonds mediate the characteristic L-shaped molecular structure. tRNAs have two regions of fundamental functional importance: the anti-codon, which is responsible for specific mRNA codon recognition, and the 3' end, to which the tRNAs corresponding amino acid is attached (by aminoacyl-tRNA synthetases). tRNAs cope with the degeneracy of the genetic code in two manners: having more than one tRNA (with a specific anti-codon) for a particular amino acid; and 'wobble' base-pairing, i.e. permitting non-standard base-pairing at the 3rd anti-codon position. RNAcentral also lists the same sequence under 2 other names. Lineage: Bacteria; Pseudomonadati; Pseudomonadota; Alphaproteobacteria. The record is from Rfam by way of RNAcentral.